AUAUUGGACAAUGGGGGCAACCCUGAUCCAGCCAUGCAGCGUGUGUGAAGAAGGUCUUCGGAUUGUAAAGCACUUUAAGUUGGGAGGAAGGGCUUUAGGCUAAUACCCUGAAGUUGUGACGUUACUAACAGAGUACGCACCGGCUACCUCUGUGCUAGCAGCCGCGGUAAUACAGAGGGUGCAAGCGUUAAUCGGAAUUACUGGGCGUAAAGCGAGCGUAGGUGGUUCAGUAAGAUGGGUUUGCACUCCCCGGGGUUAACCUGGGAACUGCUUUCAUAACUGCUGAGCUAGAGUACGGUAGAGGGUAGUGGAAUUUCCUGUGUAGCGGUGAAAUGCGUAGAUAUAGGAAGGAACACCAGUGGCGAAGGCGACUACCUGGACUGAUACUGACACUGAGGUGCGAAAGCGUGGGGAGCAAAC
This 420-nucleotide ribosomal RNA is filed under the name uncultured bacterium. RNAcentral describes it as "partial 16S ribosomal RNA". It matches the Rfam family "Bacterial small subunit ribosomal RNA", at positions 361 to 773 of the family's 1533-position model. The record is from RNAcentral.